GGGGAUCGAAAGACCUUGCGCUUUGGGAGCGGCCGAUGUCUGAUUAGCUAGUUGGUGGGGUAAAGGCCUACCAAGGCGACGAUCAGUAGUUGGUCUGAGAGGACGACCAGCCACACUGGGACUGAGACACGGCCCAGACUCCUACGGGAGGCAGCAGUGGGGAAUUUUGGACAAUGGGCGCAAGCCUGAUCCAGCAAUGCCGCGUGAGUGAAGAAGGCCUUCGGGUUGUAAAGCUCUUUCAGUCGAGAAGAAAAGGCUGCAGUGAAUAACUGCAGUUCAUGACGGUAUCGACAGAAGAAGCACCGGCUAACUACGUGCCAGCAGCCGCGGUAAUACGUAGGGUGCGAGCGUUAAUCGGAAUUA
RNAcentral lists this ribosomal RNA (363 nucleotides) under uncultured bacterium. Its description in RNAcentral is "SSU rRNA". It matches the Rfam family "Bacterial small subunit ribosomal RNA", at positions 195 to 553 of the family's 1533-position model. The record is from RNAcentral.